This 21-nucleotide non-coding RNA is filed under the name Caenorhabditis elegans. The record is from RNAcentral. Lineage: Eukaryota; Metazoa; Nematoda; Chromadorea; Rhabditida; Rhabditidae.
UCAGUUUUUUAAACUCGUUUU